GACGAAGGUGGCGAGCGUUGUUCGGAAUCACUGGGCAUAAAGCGCACGUAGGCGGCGACGUAAGUUGGGUGUGAAAUCCCUCGGCCCAACCGAGGAACUGCGCCCAGUACUGCGUUGCUUGAGGAUCCAAGGGGUGCAUGGAAUUCCCGGUGGAGCGGUGAAAUGCGUUGAGAUCGGAAGGAACGCCCGUGGCGAAAGCGAGGUCCUGGACGCCUACUGACGCUGAGACGCGAAAGCCAGGGGAGCGAACGGG
This 253-nucleotide ribosomal RNA is filed under the name uncultured bacterium. RNAcentral's name for it is "partial 16S ribosomal RNA". It matches the Rfam family "Bacterial small subunit ribosomal RNA", at positions 524 to 776 of the family's 1533-position model. The record is from RNAcentral.